CCCUCGAUAGCUCAAUUGGGAGAGCGCAAGACUGUAAUUGGAAAUCCGAAAAAAACAUCUUGAGGUCGCUAGUUCGAUCCUGGCUCGAGGGA
Stereum hirsutum FP-91666 SS1 is the source of this 92-nucleotide transfer RNA. It matches the Rfam family "tRNA". From Rfam's summary of the family: Transfer RNA (tRNA) molecules are approximately 80 nucleotides in length. Lineage: Eukaryota; Fungi; Basidiomycota; Agaricomycetes; Russulales; Stereaceae. The record is from Rfam.